AGUGGGGAAUAUUGCACAAUGGAGGAAACUCUGAUGCAGCAACGCCGCGUGGAGGAUGACGCAUUUCGGUGUGUAAACUCCUUUUAUAUAGGAAGAUAAUGACGGUACUAUAUGAAUAAGCACCGGCUAACUCCGUGCCAGCAGCCGCGGUAAUACGGAGGGUGCAAGCGUUACUCGGAAUCACUGGGCGUAAAGCGCAUGCAGGCGGUUUAUUAAGUUGGAAGUGAAAUCCUAUGGCUCAACCAUAGAACUGCUUCCAAAACUGAUAAACUAGAGUCUGGGAGGGGAAGAUGGAAUUAGUAGUGUAGGGGUAAAAUCCGUAGAGAUUACUAGGAAUACCAAAAGCGAAGGCGAUCUUCUGGAACAGUACUGACGCUGAGAUGCGAAAGCGUGGGGAGCAAACAGGAUUAGAUACCCUGGUAGUCCACGCAGUAAACGAUGAAUGUUAGUCGUUGGGACUCUAGUAGUUUUAGUGAUGCAGUUAACACAUUAAACAUUCCGCCUGGGGAGUACGGUCGCAAGAUUAAAACUCAAAGGAAUAGACGGGGACCCGCACAAGUGGUGGAGCAUGUGGUUUAAUUCGAAGAUACGCGAAGAACCUUACCUAGCCUUGACAUACUACAGAAUUUGACAGAGAUGUUGAAGUGCCUUCGGGAGCUGUAAUACAGGUGCUGCACGGCUGUCGUCAGCUCGUGUCGUGAGAUGUUGGGUUAAGUCCCGCAACGAGCGCAACCCUCGUCCUUAGUUACUAACGGUUCGGCUGAGGACUCUAAGGAGACUGCCUUCGUAAGGAGGAGGAAGGUGAGGACGACGUCAAGUCAUCAUGGCCCUUACGGCUAGGGCAACACACGUGCUACAAUGGUUAGGACAAUGAGAAGCGAUACCGCGAGGUGGAGCAAAUCUAUAAACCUAAUCUCAGUUCGGAUAGCAGUCUGCAACUCGACUGCUUGAAGCUGGAAUCACUAGUAAUCGUAAAUAAGGUAUGUUACGGUGAAUACGU
Molecule: ribosomal RNA, 1000 nt
Filed under: uncultured bacterium
Lineage: Bacteria
Description: bacterial SSU rRNA
Rfam family: Bacterial small subunit ribosomal RNA
Source: RNAcentral